GCUUUGCAGAAUGCAGUAUUUUCCCUGUGAUUCAGCCACUGACAUCUGGUAGUUCUGUUUCCUCUUCAAAGCUGUCAAACAUUAUCAGCUGCCUGAAAAAUGUGUUAGGGGGUUUCCCUUUUAUCACCCAAGGUCCUCACAAAAAUGUCAGGACUUAUUUUGUAUGUAUCUGUGAGCAACUGUAGUGUUUCUGUCUGACCUGGACUUUCUUGGCCCACACACUAGCCUCUGCUUGACAUUUCUUUUUGGCUGGCCACUCCUUCACAGUUCUCAUGGAAGAACUAGAAGAACACCAUUUUUGUUUCUUUUUUCUUUUUCUGUUUGUUUUUAGCCAGUAGUCACUGAAGGACCAACUAAGCUUUUGUGCAAAGGCUGAAGAAGCAGGAACCAGAGAUGCACAAACAGGAGAUAAUGCAAGUUCUGAAGUUCUGAAUGAAAAAAAUUAAGUGAUAUUUACUAUUCUACAGCGACUUGUUGAGGUGCUAAGGAAAGCCAUGCGAUGCCACGCCUGGCAACAAACCCACACUGCUUCAACUUCCUGUGAAGAAAGCCCUACCAUGAUCCCCACCCACAUUAUUUAUUUUGAUGACCCAAACAAAUAAGAAAAUGUAGCCAGGAGUGUUUCCUUCCAUAAUUCAAGUAGUACUGGGUUUUAAUACAAAGGAAAGCAAGAUGCUGGGCAAGUUGGUGUGGUUAAAGACCCUGCACAGGAGUUCUCUUGUGGAAAGUAGCAGAAAACCCACUAAUGUUCAGGAGCUCUGGGAUCUAGUCUUGAUUCCGCCAUACAGCAACUUGCUGUGUUACUAUAUGAGCAUUUCAGAUAAUUUCUCUACGUCUUUAUUUUCCCAUUGUCUCAGUUAAUAUCUUGGUUGCAAGAAACAGGUACCAAAUCAAGUUGGUUUAAUCUAGAUACAGAUAAAUAGAAGGAUAGAUAGCUAAUAGUUCUCAACUGGGGGGUGGUUUUAUCACCCCCCCCAUCCACCCCAAGUGGACAUUUUGCUAUGUCUAGAGGUAUUUUUGGUUGUCAUAACUGGGAGGAUUGAUGCUGUCAUCAACUGGGUAAAGUCCAGGGACUACCCUACAAUGCAUAGGAUGGCCCCCAACAAUAAAGAAUUAUCUGGAUCAAAAUAGUGAUGAGAUUGGGAAUCCCUGAUAUCUCUCUCUCUUUCUCUCUCUCUCUCUUUGUAUAUAUACUAUGUAUAUAAUAUUUAUGUGUGUGUAAUUUUUAAAGCAUAGUAUAUUAUUUCACAAAAUCUAGGGAAAUUUGGGGGGUUGGAAAUCAUGGCUCAGGAAGAGUAGAAAUCAAGCACAUUUUGCAGGUUUUGAGUUCUCAACAGAGUUCAAAGGCCUUCCUCUUAGUGCCCUCUGAUUUCCAGGACUCACUUACAAAUGCCCAUUCUCUGUGAACCUCAGACUGAGGAGAAAUGAAAUAGACACAGCUUGAGUCAGCUGUUCAUUCUGCUCUAGUUGGCUAUGUCCAAGGGGGAAUGUUCAAGCCAAAGUUCAAGCCAGUGACCAUCCUUGGAGACUGGGUCAGGAGCCCUUAGAAAGGUGGAGUUGGGAAAACAGCCCUAAGGAGGCCUAUUACAUUUAUCUAUGAGAUAACAAUAAUGCCACUGCUCUUCUGGAGACCUACUAUCAAAUAAAAGGUUGUGGGCCCCAGGGGAACUUGGAAACAGAAAUGGCAGGUGUCUCCUUUAAAUGGCAUUCAUAAUAUUUCUCUUUUUUUUCUAUCUUGAAGAACAGAUUUCAUUUUUUACACUUCUAUAAAACAAAUGGAACCAUGACUUAUGUUCCACAAUUUCCAUAGCUGAUUUCAUGAACUUUAACAAGUUUUCCUUAUUUAUAGCAGUCCCAAGCUUUAUUCCCUUAGAGAUGUCAGGACGUGGAGGGUAAUUUUGCUGCCUGCCCUCUAUGCUUUAAAGACCAAGUGAAUUGAAAGAACAGUAAAUCCCUGCCCCAACACAAUAAGUGAGGUCCAGAAGAAUUUUACGUGGGGUCUAAAAUUCAAUCAACUAUUCGUGGUCGCGUUAUUUUGAAGCUAAUGAAAUGGAUGCCAGGAACCUGCACAGCUUGCCAGUUGGUAGCGCCAACGGAAGCCCAUGCCAAACUUGGCUGAGUUUGCCGCCAUCUAGUGGCCACUCCCAGCGUCAGUUUACACCUCGCAAUGAACAGGAAGCAGGCCUGUGGCUGGCCAGGACCAGCCUUCAGCAGGCCAUUCUAGGAUUUUCCCGGUUAGCUGUCGCUCUUGGAUUGGUCCAGACCAGGAAGACUAAUUAUUACAGGAUUACUUAAUGAGGAGAUUUUCUGUACUUGGAAACAUAAAGCAAUGGUUUUAACCUUUGUGAGAUUACAGGCCCCUUUGAGAAUCUGCCUAUAUGCAUAUAAUUUUUCACACAAUUUCUAGAGGGUUUUGGGCUUACUGAAGCUAAUCCAUGGACACAAAGGGAAAGACACUGAAUAUAAACCUGAUACAGAUGUUAGCUGGGUGUAAUUGUAAGCCAUUCUGAAGUCGUUUGGAACAGAAAGGGAAAAUGGCAAUGGCAGGUGUGCGAAUAGGAGGAAAUCUACUGCUAACUGGAGGAUAGUAAGAGUCUUAACUGUCCUCUAAAAUGUGCCAAAUGCCCGUGGCUCUUUAGUUGUAUUUAUACAUGCUAUGUAUCUCCACCUUAGCUUUCCACCCUUAAAAUUGGUUCCUUGUUUUACAUGCCUGAGUUUUUCCUGGCCCUUCCUAUUCUCCUCUGGUUUCUAUCCAAAGUCUCUAGUGGACCAACAAUAGGUUUGGGUUGGGAGUCAGAAUACUGCCUGGGAUUAGGCCAGCACCCCCCAUUGGCUGGGUGAGUGAGCAAGUCCUGCACCCUCCCUGGGCUCAGCGUGAGGAUGAGCAUCCUUUAACCCCUCUUAGGAUGGAAUGAGACACUGUGUACAAGUGAAAGACAUUGAAAGAGUCAGAAAUGGUAGACAAUUUUUGGAGUCUGCAAUGUUAUUCCAAAAACAAGUCCUUCUAGGAUACUCCACAGGUAAUUCGUGCUUAAAGCGGGUGAAAUAAAUGUCAGCUGGACUUGCUGGGAGAGAAAGGAUGUAUUGUCCUAUUUUCCAGGGGUCUGUUGACAAGUGGCAUUAAUAACUAUUAUUAGUGCCUCCUCCUCACUACUCACAUUAUAAGCAAAAAGCUUUCACCUUUGGUUUCAGUAACCCCUUAACACGUCACUUCUGACACUAAUUCCCUGUGUGAGCAGGAUCUGGGGCCGGCCCGGCCUCCACCCUCUUCUGUGCAGCCCUGACAUCUGCAGAAUCACAGACAGUCCGGUCUGCAGGGAACCUCAGAGAAGAAGGAAUGCCUUUAACUAAUUCAGGGCACUCAAACCACAACACACACACACAGACGCCUCUCACAGUGGAGGUACACAUUUUCCAAAAAUUAAAAAGUGCUCGGCCCGGU
This 3442-nucleotide long non-coding RNA is filed under the name Homo sapiens (human). RNAcentral's name for it is "HSALNT0303297". Lineage: Eukaryota; Metazoa; Chordata; Mammalia; Primates; Hominidae. The record is from RNAcentral.